Molecule: ribosomal RNA, 505 nt
Filed under: uncultured bacterium
Lineage: Bacteria
Description: partial 16S ribosomal RNA
Rfam family: Bacterial small subunit ribosomal RNA
Source: RNAcentral
GACGAACGCUGGCGGCGUGCCUAAUACAUGCAAGUAGAACGCACAGUUUAUACCGUAGCUUGCUACACCAUAGACUGUGAGUUGCGAACGGGUGAGUAACGCGUAGGUAACCUGCCUGGUAGCGGGGGAUAACUAUUGGAAACGAUAGCUAAUACCGCAUAAUAUUAAUUAUUGCAUGAUAAUUAAUUGAAAGGUGCAAUUGCACCACUACCAGAUGGACCUGCGUUGUAUUAGCUAGUAGGUGAGGUAACGGCUCACCUAGACGACGAUACAUAGCCGACCUGAGAGGGUGUUCGGCCACACUGGGACGGAGACACGGCCCAGACUCCUACGGGCGGCAGCAGUAGGGAAUCUUCGGCAAUGGACGAAAGUCUGACCGAGCAACGCCGCGUGAGUGAAGAAGGUUUUCGGAUCGUAAAGCUCUGUUGUAAGAGAAGAACGGGUGUGAGAGUGGAAAGUUCACACUGUGACGGUAUCUUACCAGAAAGGGACGGCUAACUACGUG